Molecule: ribosomal RNA, 120 nt
Filed under: Cathaya argyrophylla
Lineage: Eukaryota; Viridiplantae; Streptophyta; Pinopsida; Pinales; Pinaceae
Source: RNAcentral
GGGUGCGAUCAUACCAGCGUUAAUGCACCGGAUCCCAUCAGAACUCCGCAGUUAAGCGCAUUUGGGCUAGAGUAGUACUGGGAUGGGUGACCUCCCGAGAAGUCCUAGUGUUGCACCCUC